RNAcentral lists this ribosomal RNA (915 nucleotides) under uncultured archaeon. RNAcentral describes it as "bacterial SSU rRNA". It matches the Rfam family "Archaeal small subunit ribosomal RNA", at positions 1 to 923 of the family's 1478-position model. The record is from RNAcentral.
UCCGGUUGAUCCUGCCGGAGGUUACUGCUAUCGAGGUUCGACUAAGCCAUGCGAGUCGAAUGUAGCAAUACAUGGCGUACUGCUCAGUAACACGUGGAUAACCUACCCUUGAGACGGGGAUAAACCCGGGAAACUGGGUAUAAUACCCGAUAGAUCUCGACUGCUGGAAUGCAUCGAGCUUGAAAGCUCCGGCGCUCAAGGAUGGGUCUGCGGCCUAUCAGGUAGUAGUGGGUGUAGCGUACCUACUAGCCUACGACGGGUACGGGUUGUGAGAGCAAGAGCCCGGAGAUGGAUUCUGAGACACGAAUCCAGGCCCUACGGGGUGCAGCAGGCGCGAAAACUUUACAAUGCUGGAAACAGCGAUAAGGGGACCUCGAGUGCCAGGUUACAAAUCUGGCUGUCGUGAUGCCUAAAAAGCAUUGCAUAGCAAGGGCCGGGCAAGACCGGUGCCAGCCGCCGCGGUAACACCGGCGGCUCGAGUGGUAACCGUUAUUAUUGGGUCUAAAGGGUCUGUAGCCGGCCGGAUAAGUCUCUUGGGAAAUCUGGCAGCUUAACUGUCAGGCUUUCAGGAGAUACUGUCUGGCUCGAGGCCGGGAGAGGUGAGAGGUACUUCAGGGGUAGGGGUGAAAUCUUGUAAUCCUUGAAGGACCACCAGUGGCGAAGGCGUCUCACCAGAACGGACCUGACGGCAAGGGACGAAAGCUAGGGGCACGAACCGGAUUAGAUACCCGGGUAGUCCUAGCCGUAAACGAUACUCGCUAGGUGUCGGCAACGGUGCGACCGUUGUCGGUGCCGUAGGGAAGCCGUGAAGCGAGCCACCUGGGAAGUACGGCCGCAAGGCUGAAACUUAAAGGAAUUGGCGGGGGAGCACCACAACGGGUGGAGCUUGCGGUUUAAUUGGAUUCAACGCCGGAA